UUUCUUUAUCUGCAAUAUUCACAAAAGAAACUCUUUCAAUUUGUCAUUGGUUUAGGAUUUGAUGUCAUGAAAGAAACUAAAGAAAAAAAGUGAUUAUUUUCUUACAUGUUAUGGAGGUAGGAACAAAUGAGGCUCUGCAAAUGAGGUUCUUUUUCAUUAAUCUGGCUUAUCAAGGCUUAUCAAUAAACCAGAAGGGCAUUAAAAAGCAAUCAAACCACCUCACUAAUUAGAUUAGAUAUCAAAGAUCACUGGCACACAAUUAUGUAAAACAAAAAUUCCUGUAAAGUGGUUAGUAUACUAUUCACUAGCACACAAACUGUGAAUAAAAAUUCAUUGUCCUAAAGAUAUGAAAUUCUAAGCAGAAAAAUGAUAUACAACAUAUUGAUAUUAACGUAAUACAAUCACAGUAUAAAAUACAUUCAAACUGACUGAGACCACUUAGUCAAAGUGAGAUGAUAUUUCCUUGUCAAACAAAUCACAUAAUACAUUAUGAACAAGUUAGAUACCA
This 508-nucleotide long non-coding RNA is filed under the name Trifolium pratense (red clover). Its description in RNAcentral is "long non-coding RNA (TPRA_LNC011369)". Lineage: Eukaryota; Viridiplantae; Streptophyta; Magnoliopsida; Fabales; Fabaceae. The record is from RNAcentral.